RNAcentral lists this ribosomal RNA (500 nucleotides) under uncultured Glomeromycotina. RNAcentral describes it as "partial small subunit ribosomal RNA". It matches the Rfam family "Eukaryotic small subunit ribosomal RNA", at positions 591 to 1092 of the family's 1831-position model. Lineage: Eukaryota; Fungi; Glomeromycota. The record is from RNAcentral.
CCAAUAGCGUAUAUUAAAGUUGUUGCAGUUAAAAAGCUCGUAGUUGAAUUUCGGGGUCAGUAGGUUGGUCGUGCCACUGGUAUGUACUGGUCUCACUGAUUCCUCCUUCCUGAUGAGCUGUAAUGCCAUUAAUUUGGUGUUGCGGGGAAUCUGGACUGUUACUUUGAAAAAAUUAGAGUGUUUAAAGCAGGCUAACGCUUGAAUACAUUAGCAUGGAAUAAUGAAAUAGGACGUUCGAUCCUAUUUUGUUGGUUUCUAGGAUUGACGUAAUGAUUAAUAGGGAUAGUUGGGGGCAUUAGUAUUCAAUUGUCGGAGGUGAAAUUCUUGGAUUUAUUGAAGACUAACUACUGCGAAAGCAUUUGCCAAGGAUGUUUUCAUUAAUCAAGAACGAAAGUUAGGGGAUCGAAGACGAUCAGAUACCGUCGUAGUCUUAACCAUAAACUAUGCCGACUAGGGAUCGGAUGAUGUUAAUUUUUUAAUGACUCAUUCGGCGCCUUACG